UACGUAGGGACCAAGCGUUGUUCGGAUUUACUGGGCGUAAAGGGCGCGUAGGCGGCGUGUUAAGUCAGCUGUGAAAUCUCCAAGCUUAACUUGGAACGGUCAGCUGAUACUGAUGUGCUAGAGUGCAGAAGGGGCAAUCGGAAUUCUUGGUGUAGCGGUGAAAUGCGUAGAGAUCAGGAGGAACACCCGUGGCGAAGGCGGCUCUCUGGGUCCACCCUGACGCUGAGGCGCGAAAGCGUGGGGAGCGAACGGG
RNAcentral lists this ribosomal RNA (253 nucleotides) under uncultured bacterium. Its description in RNAcentral is "partial 16S ribosomal RNA". It matches the Rfam family "Bacterial small subunit ribosomal RNA", at positions 524 to 776 of the family's 1533-position model. The record is from RNAcentral.